AUUGCUUCUCAGCAUUUUGCCUAAGAUCAAGUGUAGUUAGUGUCUGUUCUUAUCAGUUUAAUAUCUGAUAUGUCCUCUAUCCAAAGACAAUAUAUUAAACUGAUUUUUGGAACUGGGAAAUGGAAUAGGGGCUUGCUCUGUCACUCCACACAUUGACCCAGUAUUUCAGUACUUCCAAAAAUGGUUCACUCCUC
RNAcentral lists this small nuclear RNA (194 nucleotides) under Dasypus novemcinctus (nine-banded armadillo). Its description in RNAcentral is "U2 spliceosomal RNA (ENSDNOG00000027675.1)". It matches the Rfam family "U2 spliceosomal RNA". From Rfam's summary of the family: U2 is a small nuclear RNA (snRNA) component of the spliceosome (involved in pre-mRNA splicing). Complementary binding between U2 snRNA (in an area lying towards the 5' end but 3' to hairpin I) and the branchpoint sequence (BPS) of the intron results the bulging out of an unpaired adenosine, on the BPS, which initiates a nucleophilic attack at the intronic 5' splice site, thus starting the first of two transesterification reactions that mediate splicing. The record is from RNAcentral. Lineage: Eukaryota; Metazoa; Chordata; Mammalia; Cingulata; Dasypodidae.